GGGGCUGUAGCUCAGUGGUAGAGCACUUGUCUAGCACAUGUGAAGCAUGGGUUCAAUUCCCAGCAACACAU
This 71-nucleotide transfer RNA is filed under the name Ictidomys tridecemlineatus (thirteen-lined ground squirrel). RNAcentral describes it as "Spermophilus tridecemlineatus (thirteen-lined ground squirrel) tRNA". It matches the Rfam family "tRNA". Rfam says of the family: Transfer RNA (tRNA) molecules are approximately 80 nucleotides in length. Their secondary structure includes four short double-helical elements and three loops (D, anti-codon, and T loops). Lineage: Eukaryota; Metazoa; Chordata; Mammalia; Rodentia; Sciuridae. RNAcentral also lists the same sequence under 1 other name. The record is from Rfam by way of RNAcentral.